GGCCAUAAGGAGGUGGUGGCGCUAGGUGAUGGAAGCGAGUGCAGGGGCGGUAGAUGGAGGGAUCAGGGGAGGAGGAUGACUCCACUGGAGCUGACUGGUGAGUAUCAAAGAGAACACAGAACCCACAGACGGCCGGGUGUGGAGGAUUGAUUACGGGCUGAAUCUGUGGCUGCGUUUGAAUGCCUGUGAGACACCGGAAUGUUUGUCGUGUGCAGUCGUGGCAACCUCUAUUGUGAUGAUGACUGGGGCUGUGUGCUGUACUCUGUGACGCAUUAAUAGGUAACCUUACAGCAAAGGGGUGAAUUAGAAGUGAUGCCACAGAGAAUAGGCUAGAAUGCCCGUCAUCAAAGUUAAUGGGUGUUGCAUUGUUAUCGCUCCUCUGAAUGGUCCCUAGCUAAUGUUUUGGAAGCAGCGCUGCGACACCUUUUGUUGUGUGGAUAUUUGUCUGAUGAUUUGUUGUUGUUUUUGUCGUACACGCACACGUCUGUCACAUGGUGAACUGGUGACGAACCCCUCAGGGCCACGAUGUCAGCAGUUUCCUCCCGACAGUCUACCAUUACUGAGCCCAUUGAUGACACCCUCUCAACAGAGGAUGACUGUGGCCUUGUGUCCCAGAAUGAUCUGGAAGAUGCCGCAAACUGCAUGACUGAUCAGAAUGAAGACAACACUGCAAACCGGAGUCUACCACAACACCCUACGAUAUUCACCUUUUCUAAGACUGCAAUUGAGGGGUGAUGUCUGCUCGCCGCCCCCUGGUGGCAGAAGUCCAAGCUACCAGACGGACCCCAGGCCCCACUUUGGAAUUCCAAACUCGUCUCGCUCCACGCCCUUCCCUCUGUGGGGCAGCAGAGGGCCUCGUGAGUUCAGGAAGGAGGAGAGGAGGAGGAGGAAGAGGAGGAGGAGGUAUGCAUGUGUCCUCACUGCAACCUGGCCCUUCCUCCAGACACACUCCGCUGGCAC
Long non-coding RNA from Clupea harengus (Atlantic herring), 960 nucleotides. The record is from Ensembl. Lineage: Eukaryota; Metazoa; Chordata; Actinopteri; Clupeiformes; Clupeidae.